GCCGGGCGUGGUGGUGCGUGCCUGUAGUCCCAGCUACUCAGGAGGCUGAGGCAGAAGAAUCGCUUGAACCCAGGAGGUGGAGGUUGCAGUGAGCCAAGAUCACGCCACUGCACUCCAGCCUGGGCAACAGAGCGAGACUCUGUCUCCA
Molecule: signal recognition particle RNA, 148 nt
Filed under: Pan paniscus (pygmy chimpanzee)
Lineage: Eukaryota; Metazoa; Chordata; Mammalia; Primates; Hominidae
Also listed under: 1 other name
Description: Metazoan signal recognition particle RNA
Rfam family: Metazoan signal recognition particle RNA
About the family: The signal recognition particle (SRP) is a universally conserved ribonucleoprotein. It is involved in the co-translational targeting of proteins to membranes.
Source: Rfam by way of RNAcentral